GCUAGCGGGAGGCUUAAUACAUGCAAGUCGAGGGGCAGCACGAAUAGCAAUAUUUGGUGGCGACCGGCGGACGGGUGAGUAACGCGUACCCAACCUACCUUAUACAGGAGCAUAGCCCCGGGAAACUGGGAGUAAUACUCCAUAACAUUGCGGAAUCGCAUGAUUCUGCAAUUAAAACUCCGGUGGUAUAAGAUGGGGGUGCGUUCCAUUAGUUAGUUGGUAGGGUAACGGCCUACCAAGACGAUGAUGGAUAGCUGGCGUGAGAGCGCGACCAGCCACACUGGAACUGAGACACGGUCCAGACUCCUACGGGAGGCAGCAGU
Molecule: ribosomal RNA, 323 nt
Filed under: Schmidingerella taraikaensis
Lineage: Eukaryota; Ciliophora; Spirotrichea; Tintinnida; Rhabdonellidae
Description: partial Bacterial small subunit ribosomal RNA
Rfam family: Bacterial small subunit ribosomal RNA
Source: RNAcentral